Long non-coding RNA from Lagopus leucura (white-tailed ptarmigan), 133 nucleotides. RefSeq lists it as uncharacterized. The transcript has 3 exons. NCBI's taxonomy places the organism in Eukaryota, Metazoa, Chordata, Aves, Galliformes, Phasianidae. The record is from RefSeq and is a predicted model, not a curated record.
GUCUGAGGUUAUGUAUAGAGAUAAAUGUCAUGGCAAGAAUCGCCAAAGAACUUGUGAAAGGUAUACGGGACUAUAAAUUCAUAAGCAUUUCUGACUACAUCAAGUUGCUGGAACAAUCAGUGGAGUCAGACAC